NNNNNNNNNNNNNNNNNNNNNNNGCAAAGCCCCAGCGCGGCCCGGUUGCAAGCCCUAAAAGGCCUGAUCGCAACCCCGUUGCAACCCCCAGAUGGCCCAGUUGCAACCCCCAAAAGGCCCAGUUGCAACCCCAGCACGGCCCGGUUGCAACCCCAGCAAUGCAACUCAAGGCACGGGUGCGCCGCAACCCUGCACUUUGCAAUGCAAUGCGAUGCAUGCUCAAUGCAAAUUUGGGCUUACAGCGCAACCCAACGCAGGCGGGCGAUGCAAACCCGCGCUUGCAAUGCAAUGCAAUGCACGUGCAGUGCAAGCUUGUGCUUGCAAUGCAACCAGUGCAUGUAUGCGACGCAACCCUGCGCUUGCAGUGCAAGACAGUGCAUGUGCGCUGCAAACCUGCGCUUGCAACGCAACCCAAUGCACACAUGCAAUGCAAACAUGCAUUUUGAAAUGCAAGGCAAUGCGUGUGCAAUGCAAACCUGCACUUGCAACACAACGCAAUGCACAUAUGCGAUGCAAACCUGCGUUUGCAAUGCAAGGCAAUGCACGUGCAAUGCAAACUUGUGCUUGCAAUGCAACCCAGUGCACGUAUGCAAAGCAAACCUGCGUUUGCAAUGCAAGGCAAUGCGUGUGCAAUGCAAACUUGUGCUUGCAACGCAACCCAGUGCACGUAUGCAAUGCAAACCUGCGUUUGCAAUGCAAGGCAAUGCACGUGCAAUGCAAACUUGUGCUUGCCACGCAACCCAGUGCACGCAUGCAAUGCAAACAUGCAUUUUGAAAUGCAAGGCGAUGCGUGUGCAAUGCAAACCUGCACUUGCAGCGCACCCCGAUGCACGUACGCGAUGCCAACCUGCGCUUGCAAUGCAAUGCAGCGCGUGUGCAAUGCAAACGUGCCCUUGCCACGCGAGCCAGUGCGCGUAUGCGACGCCGACCUGCGCUUGCAACGCGAGGCAACGCACGUGGGGUGCGACUGGGCGACUGGGCGCGGUGCAACGCCGCCCUGGCACCCCCAACUCGAUGCAGCAAC
This 1024-nucleotide long non-coding RNA is filed under the name Struthio camelus australis. Its description in RNAcentral is "lncRNA (ENSSCUG00000003865.1)". The record is from RNAcentral. Lineage: Eukaryota; Metazoa; Chordata; Aves; Struthioniformes; Struthionidae.